This 434-nucleotide ribosomal RNA is filed under the name uncultured Lachnospiraceae bacterium. Its description in RNAcentral is "partial 16S ribosomal RNA". It matches the Rfam family "Bacterial small subunit ribosomal RNA", at positions 341 to 792 of the family's 1533-position model. Lineage: Bacteria; Bacillati; Bacillota; Clostridia; Lachnospirales; Lachnospiraceae. The record is from RNAcentral.
ACGGAAGGCAGCAGUGGGGAAUAUUGCACAAUGGGGGAAACCCUGAUGCAGCGACGCCGCGUGAGUGAAGAAGUAUUUCGGUAUGUAAAGCUCUAUCAGCAGGGAAGAUAAUGACGGUACCUGACUAAGAAGCACCGGCUAAAUACGUGCCAGCAGCCGCGGUAAUACGUAUGGUGCAAGCGUUAUCCGGAAUUACUGGGUGUAAAGGGAGUGUAGGCGGGACUGUAAGUCAGAUGUGAAAUAUGCCGGCUCAACUGGCAGACUGCAUUUGAAACUGCGGUUCUUGAGUGAAGUAGAGGUAAGCGGAAUUCCUAGUGUAGCGGUGAAAUGCGUAGAUAUUAGGAAGAACACCAGUGGCGAAGGCGGUUAGCUGGACAAUAACUGACGCUGAGGCGCGAAAGCGUGGGUAGCAAACAGGAUUAGAUACCCUGGUA